This 494-nucleotide ribosomal RNA is filed under the name uncultured bacterium. Its description in RNAcentral is "partial 16S ribosomal RNA". It matches the Rfam family "Bacterial small subunit ribosomal RNA", at positions 28 to 507 of the family's 1533-position model. The record is from RNAcentral.
GACGAACGCUGGCGGCGUGCUUAACACAUGCAAGUCGAACGGAAAGGCCUGCUUUCCCUUGUGGAUUGCGGGUACUCGAGUGGCGAACGGGUGAGUAACACGUGAGUGAUCUGCCCCCAACUUGGGUAUAAGCCUGGGAAACUGGGUCUAAUUCCCGAUAGGACUGCAGGGUGGUGCCUGUGGUGGAAAACGAUUUUCUAGUGGUUGGGGAUGAGCUCGUGGCCUAUCAGCUUGUUGGUGGGGCAAUGGCCUACCAAGGCGGCGACGGGUAGCCGGCGUGGGAGGGGGGACGGCGACAUUGAGACUCGGAUACGGCUCAGACUCCAACGAGAAGCAGGAGUGGGGAAUAUUGCGGAGUGAGCGGGAGCCAGAUGCAGCGACGGCGCGUGGGAGAUGACGGGCUUCGGGUUGUAAACUCCUUGCGAACACGAGGAGGCGACCUGGUUGGAAGGGUGGUGACGGUAGUGGUAGAAGAAGCACCGGCUAACUACGUG